AUAUAAAAACAUCGGGUAAGCUUUAUGGUUAAUAAGUGUAUAAAUGUGAUGU
Molecule: non-coding RNA, 52 nt
Filed under: Trypanosoma lewisi
Lineage: Eukaryota; Euglenozoa; Kinetoplastea; Trypanosomatida; Trypanosomatidae
Source: RNAcentral